This 217-nucleotide ribosomal RNA is filed under the name Clostridioides difficile. RNAcentral describes it as "partial 16S ribosomal RNA". It matches the Rfam family "Bacterial small subunit ribosomal RNA", at positions 510 to 727 of the family's 1533-position model. The record is from RNAcentral. Lineage: Bacteria; Bacillati; Bacillota; Clostridia; Peptostreptococcales; Peptostreptococcaceae.
AGCAGCCGCGGUAAUACGUAGGGGGCUAGCGUUAUCCGGAUUUACUGGGCGUAAAGGGUGCGUAGGCGGUCUUUCAAGUCAGGAGUGAAAGGCUACGGCUCAACCGUAGUAAGCUCUUGAAACUGGGCGACUUGAGUGCAGGAGAGGAGAGUGGAAUUCCUAGUGUAGCGGUGAAAUGCGUAGAUAUUAGGAGGAACACCAGUUGCGAAGGCGGCUC